RNAcentral lists this ribosomal RNA (468 nucleotides) under uncultured bacterium. RNAcentral's name for it is "partial 16S ribosomal RNA". It matches the Rfam family "Bacterial small subunit ribosomal RNA", at positions 28 to 507 of the family's 1533-position model. The record is from RNAcentral.
GACGAACGCUGGCGGCGUGCUUAACACAUGCAAGUCGAACGGAAAGGCCCUGCUUUUGUGGGGUGCUCGAGUGGCGAACGGGUGAGUAACACGUGAGUAACCUGCCCUUGACUUUGGGAUAACUUCAGGAAACUGGGGCUAAUACCGGAUAGGAGCUCCUGCUGCAUGGUGGGGGUUGGAAAGUUUCGGUGGUUGGGGAUGGACUCGCGGCUUAUCAGCUUGUUGGUGGGGUAGUGGCUUACCAAGGCUUUGACGGGUAGCCGGCCUGAGAGGGUGACCGGCCACAUUGGGACUGAGGUACGGCCCAGACUCCUACGGGAGGCAGCAGUGGGGAAUAUUGCACAAUGGGCGGAAGCCUGAUGCAGCAACGCCGCGUGCGGGAUGACGGCCUUCGGGUUGUAAACCGCUUUCGCCUGUGACGAAGCGUGAGUGACGGUAAUGGGUAAAGAAGCACCGGCUAACUACGUG